RNAcentral lists this unclassified non-coding RNA (2781 nucleotides) under Cimex lectularius (bed bug). Its description in RNAcentral is "kinesin-like protein KIF6, transcript variant X3". The record is from RNAcentral. Lineage: Eukaryota; Metazoa; Arthropoda; Insecta; Hemiptera; Cimicidae.
UUUUUUUCUGGUUUGUUAUUUGUUACUUCACAUUACAGGUUUUGCUGUGCCUGAAAAAUAAUUACUUUGGUUUUGAGUAUUCACUGUUCAGUUCUGCUCAUUUAGUUAACAAGGUUCAAACUCUUAUAAAAAUAAUAAUAAAUAAAUAAAAACGUAUGAAACACACGAAGAAAAGUGCGAUAAAAGUGUAUGCCAGAGUUAGACCAUCGCUAAUGAACAUUAGUCAUCAUUAUGAUGUACAGAAGCAAUCUGUAAAUUCUGAAGACAGAGAUCUAUUGGUACUCUAUGGCAUUCCUGAUCAUAAAGAUGGAUGUAAAUAUGGAUUUUUGUUUCAAAAAGUUUUCAAAGAAACUGCAAGACAGUGUGACCUUUAUGAAGUUGUAGCUAAACCUGUUGUUGAAAGAGUUUUCAAUGGUUACAAUGGAGCGAUUCUCGCUUACGGACAGACAGGCACUGGGAAAACACAUAGUAUAACUGGUGGGAGUGAUAAUUCUUCAAAAGGGAUGAUUCCAAGGGCUUUUAAUGGAAUGUUUAAGCUGAUAAAAAAUGCUCCUGAGAAGGAAUAUUCUGUGUCAAUAUCCACCAUGGAAAUUUAUAAUGAACUGUGCUAUGAUUUACUCAGUGAAGAAGGGAGCAACCACGAGGGUUUUACAAAAGUUUUGUUGUUGGAAGAUGCAGCUGGGACAGUAAAGUUGAGAAACUUAUCAGAGCAUAAAGUUUUUGAGAUGAAAGAAGUUGAUCGACUUCUAAAAAAAGGAAUGACAAACAGAACUGUUGCUGAUACACCGAUGAAUCCAGUCUCAUCUAGAUCUCAUUGUAUUUUUACAUUGCACUUACGGCAACGAGUAAAGCCUGGAGAUAGAAAAUGUGUGAAAUCAAAGUUACACAUGAUUGAUUUGUCAGGUUCUGAGCGUGUAUGGAAAAACAAUACAAGUGGGCUGUUACUCCAUGAAGCAAAGCACAUCAAUUUAUCACUACACUAUCUAGAACAAGUUAUAAUUGCUCUAUCUGAAAGACAACGGCUUCAUGUGCCAUACAGGAAUUCAACUAUAACUUCAUUGUUGAGGGAUUCACUCGGAGGCAAUAGCCACACUGCUAUGGUAUUCACAUUGUCACUAGAGCCGAACAAUUUUCAUGUACAGAAGGAAACUCUUUCUACUUGUCGUUUUUCACAAAGGGUAUCACUUGUCAAGACACAUAGUCAAAAGGUCAUUGACUACUCUAGUGAUACAGAAGAGGAGUUGGUCUUUCUUCGUUCUGAAGUCGAUAGGUUACGAAAGAUUAUUGGAAAGAUGAAAAUUGGAGUAGCAUUAAAUGAAGAUGAAGAAAAUCCAACUAAAAAUAAAGCCGAAGCAGAAGAUAAUUAUGAAGAAGACAGUUUUGAAGAAUAUGAUGAGAAAGCUAGCUGUUCUUCAGACCAGGAAUUUUGUAAAAUUGCCUGCAAUAUUGAGUCCAUCCAGAUGGAAAAUGUUACGAUGCCAAACGUUCCGCUUGAAGAUGAAGUGCUGUCAAAAAGCACAAUCAGAGAUGUUGAACUGCCAAAGAUUUCACUGGAAGAUGCAUUGAAAAGCAUUCCACUUGAAGAUGUGUUAAAAAACAUUCCAUUGGAACCAAAUGAAUCAGAAGCAAUGUCUGUUUUAUCAAGUGAAAACAACAAAAAAGUUGCAGUGGAAUCUCCUGCCCCUAAACACAUUGAACCAUUUCGGCAAAAUCAUUGUGUGGGAUUACAAGGAGAAAAUGAGAUCAGUUUGUCAUUUGACUUCAAAAGCACUGUUUCUCACAUCAAUCGAGGAAUUUUGAUGCUGACAACUCUUUUAAGACAUGUAUCUUCAGUAUUAACAAUACAAGAGGAAGAGAGAAUAAAAAUGUUUGAUGUAGAAAAAUUAAGUAACAUAAUGGGGCUUACACUACCACACAUAAAUCCAAACACCGGUGAACCUUAUACCGAUGAAAAACGUGAGGCAUUUACAACGUUUUUACACCUGAAAAAAUCCAACAGAGCAUUGUAUUUGUAUGCUGAAAUGCAUAUAUCGUAUUUCUCCCAAUUGGAAGCAGAAUGGCAACUUUGGAAAAAAGUCAGUUCUCUAAUGCCAGAACUUGAUUUGUUAGAAAAAGAAUUACAAAAUGCGCAGAGCAAAGGUGAAUUUCCUGAUGUAUUAGAGACUUUAGAAAUUGCAUAUAUUCAUAAAAAACGCAAGUUGGAAAGGGCAAAAGAAAAACUCGAGCUUCUAAGUAAAGAACGAUUCGAUAGCUUAAGAAUGUUCAGAGAUGCAAAACAGUCACUGUUGAAAAGCUUUGAACUCUGGUGGGAUGAAAAAGGUUGUCAGCUUCCAAUAGAAACAGUCCAGACUAAGAAGACAAAAAGUUUAAUGAGAUUAAGGAAAUGGUCUGAGAACCUAAGGAUGCCAUCAAGUACAAAACAUGGCACAGGCCUGAAGAACACAGUGCACAGUUAUGGCAAAAUGAAGUAAGGGAGAUAUUAAAAAACAGCGAUGAAAAAUUGCCUUAUUCUCACCAUUCUGGUGGAAAACUUAGCCAACGUUCUUCCCCUAAUUCUUCAGCCACCAUGAUUCAUGAAUUGUCAAAACAAAAGGCAAGUUUACCAAAUAUCCGCAGCAUUGAUAUCAAGCUAACAGGAGAUUCAGAUAUUGAUAAAGAGAUAAUGAAUUUCUACAACAACAGAGCUGGGACAUGAAGAUAAUGGCCAAAUGUACUUGAUUAUUGUACCAUUUUGUAUUAUAAAAAAUGUAAAAAUAACCAAUAAAUAACUAUUGGUAUAAA